GAGUUCAUGCCCGAAAGGGUAGGCCUCCCACCCUUGUGUAUUAUUACUUUGUUGCUUUGGCGAGCUGCCUUCGGGCCUUGUAUGUUCGCCAGAGAAUAUCAAAACUCUUUUAUUAAUGUCGUCUGGGUACUAUAUAAUAGUUAAAACUUUCAACAACGGAUCUCUUGGUUCU
RNAcentral lists this unclassified non-coding RNA (172 nucleotides) under rhizosphere metagenome. RNAcentral describes it as "partial ribosomal RNA internal transcribed spacer region". The record is from RNAcentral.